CAUCCCCACUGCAUCCUUGGGAACUGCAUGCUUGGGGGACAAGUGGGCUCUCAGCCCCCACCUCCACUCCCACUCCCUGGCGCUUUGCGACCUCCUCAUGGGUGACAGCAAGUUCCAUGUCACAAAGACGGCCAUCCGGGUACUUGGCUGUUCCUUGGAGGACUGCACAGACCCAGGGGAACGGGGCUUCCCGCCUCGACCGUGAGGAGCAGGAGGAGGCUCAGAGCCCCGGACGGGGGAGCCGGCCACGCCCUGGAAUCGUCGCGGAUUCUUUCUGACGUUAGGCCAAACUUGCAGACCUUGACGGCAGCGUUGGGGACACUCCAAGAGCAGGGCUCUGAGUAUUUCCCGCAAACCACAUUCCACAGAGUCACCUCUGAAGCCCCUGAGGGGCGUGCUUCACCCUUCACUUCUGAGAACCCUCCUCCUCUCCAAGGACAGCAGAUCCUCUUUCAUCUGCUUUAGGUAUUGGAGUUCCUCGUUGGAUUUCAUGUCAGGAAGAGCUCCGCCACCAGGAAAAGCUUGAAAGCCUUUGCCUAGAUGGGAUCCAAGGUCGCUGACCUCAAUAUGAAGGUGACCCAGGGCACCCUGGCUCUUCCUGGGAACCCAGUCAGCCCCAGGGAAGCGCCCCAGGCUUAUGAGGCUCAGAGAGGCUGCCCUCCCAGCCCCCACCAGUAGGAUGGCAGCUCAUAGCACAGCCGAGUGAAAGCUGUGAUUUUCAUUUUUAAAAGCUUAAGAAAAAAUGCACAGGGAGCAAAUGUACAGGAACUUCUGCUAAGGACCUGCUAUGUUAACUGCAGAUCGUCUUCUCAUGAGCCCUGAAAAUGGAUCCUGGGAGCACAUGACAAAAACCCCAUACAUCUAACCAUAAGUUGGUAUUCUAAGAGUGUCCCCCGCUCCCCUGCAAGGAUGCUCCCCACCACUAUUCUUGGGUUCUUGCUUCGGUGGCUAAGGAGUCAGGCUAUGGAGGGGUCAGGGGUGACCCACUUUGGUCCUGGUUUUUUUAAAGAUUUUAUUUAUUUAUUUGAGAGAAAGGAGCCCAAUGCCAGAGCUUGAUUCCAGGGCCUGAGGAUAAUGACCUGAGCCAAAGGCAGACACUUAACUGAGCCACCCAGGUACCCCUUGGUCUUAAUUUACCAAGGAUGAGGUAUAGAAGUUCACCCAGGACAAAGCCAGGCCUAAGAGAAGGAUAUUCUCUAGGCUCAGAUUAGGAAUCUCAGACCCAGGGAGAGACAGUUCCAGGACACUACAGCCCCGGAUGGUAUCCCAGGGUCAUUAGGUCCCUGGGUCCUCUUUCCUGGGGUUCCGCCCUGAGUCCAGUCCGAAGCCUCAUGUGUUAGCAUAAUCGGAAACACAGUCCCUGCCGGGCUGGACAGAGCAGCGUUCACAGAUCACUGCCCUGAAGAAGUUGAUGAAAGGCAACUGCGCCACAAGCAAACUCCCUGUCACUCCCCAGGGCCUGCAGCGCUCCAGGACUCCCAGAGAUUGACACCCUAGCCGCUCAGACCCCCAACAUGCUCUCUUUCUUUCCGCCUCGUCCAUGUCACUCUUUUGAAGCUCUGCUCCUAUUCCAUGACCACUUAGAUCUUAAUAGCCUUCUCUCGCAUGUCCCCUCCUUCCUUCCAAAUGAGAAGCAGGUAUAAAUGCUGGGUCUGCAUUUGUCAAAACCAACGGGAAGGUGGGAUACAUGUCUGGGAGGGCUGAUGAGAGAGAGGGAGAGGGGGAGGGAGAGACGGAUGACACUCUAGGGCUGGAGCUUACAUACUCUAAGGGAGGGGGGAGAAGAGGUGUGCCGGGUUUAUAAGGUAGUGGAGAGGUGGGCUGGGGUCCCCGCACAUCCCCAAGGCCAGGGCACUGUGGGGCCAGGGCUCAGAGGCUCCUCACAGCUGGAGUACAGUCACUCACUACCUUCACCUGACAGCACCAACUUGGGGCUAUUUCCCCCCUUUCCUGUUACUCCUGGAUGGCAAAUAUAGGUGGAUAUAUUGUACUAUGCGAGCACUCAAGGCGUGUGCAUGUGAGCAUGUAUGUGUGUGUACCCUUACGAUCAAAACGUAUCCUCUGUCGUUAAAACAAGUAAAAUAAAAACAGUAUUAAUUAUGUUUUGGAUUGAUUC
This 2116-nucleotide long non-coding RNA is filed under the name Vulpes vulpes (red fox). RNAcentral describes it as "lncRNA (ENSVVUG00000007875.1)". Lineage: Eukaryota; Metazoa; Chordata; Mammalia; Carnivora; Canidae. The record is from RNAcentral.